This 503-nucleotide ribosomal RNA is filed under the name uncultured bacterium. RNAcentral's name for it is "partial 16S ribosomal RNA". It matches the Rfam family "Bacterial small subunit ribosomal RNA", at positions 30 to 523 of the family's 1533-position model. The record is from RNAcentral.
AUUGAACGCUGGCGGCAGGCUUAACACAUGCAAGUCGAGCGGGGUGAUGGUGCUUGCACUAUCACUUAGCGGCGGACGGGUGAGUAAUGCUUAGGAAUCUGCCUAUUAGUGGGGGACAACAUCUCGAAAGGGAUGCUAAUACCGCAUACGUCCUACGGGAGAAAGCAGGGGAUCACUUGUGACCUUGCGCUAAUAGAUGAGCCUAAGUCGGAUUAGCUAGUUGGUGGGGUAAAGGCCUACCAAGGCGACGAUCUGUAGCGGGUCUGAGAGGAUGAUCCGCCACACUGGGACUGAGACACGGCCCAGACUCCUACGGGAGGUAGCAGUGGGGAAUUUUGGACAAUGGGGGGAACCCUGAUCCAGCCAUGCCGCGUGUGUGAAGAAGGCCUUAUGGUUGUAAAGCACUUUAAGCGAGGAGGAGGCUCUUUUGGUUAAUACCCAAGAUGAGUGGACGUUACUCGCAGAAUAAGCACCGGCUAACUCUGUGCCAGCCGCCGCAGUAA